Molecule: long non-coding RNA, 3337 nt
Filed under: Linum usitatissimum (flax)
Lineage: Eukaryota; Viridiplantae; Streptophyta; Magnoliopsida; Malpighiales; Linaceae
Description: long non-coding RNA (LUSI_LNC007028)
Source: RNAcentral
GAUCGCACCCGUCCACUUCUCACGAUCACGUGUAUUUGAACCUUUCCGAUCACUACUUCCUCCCUUCAUUUUCACGUUUUUUCGCUUUCUAUUAAGUCCAUUUUGGCCCGUUCCCGCUCGAGCCUCGAAAAUAGCCGCCCUCUAGGUUCGCCUCCAGCAUUAUGCAUGUAAUAUAAAUGAUGUAAUCUCGGUAAGCGUGUCGAUAACGUCGCCGAGGGGGAAAACUUCAAAAAGAGGGGGUGCAACACGAGAACUUCCCAAGAGAUCACCCAUCUUAGUAGUACUCUCGCCUAAGCAAGUAUAACUUCGGAGUUCUGAUGGGAUCCGGUACAUUAGUGCUGGCAUAAUCGCACCCGUCCACUUCUCAUGAUCACGUGUAUUUGAACCACUCCCGUCACUACUUCCUCCCUUCAUUUUCACGCUUUUCGCUUUCUUUUAAUUACAUUUUAGCCCGUUCCCGCCCGAGCCUCGAAAAUGACCGAUCCCUCCGUUCCCCUCCCUCAUUAUGCGUGUAAUAUAAACGAUGUUAAGCGUGUCAAUAACGUCGUCAGGGGAAAAAGUUGCAAAAAGAGGAGGUGCAACACGAGGACUUCCCAAGAGGUCACCCAUCUUAGUACUAAUCUCGCCCAAGCACGGUUCACUUCGGAGUUCUGAUGGGAUCCGGUGCAUUAGUGUUGGCAUGAUCGCACUCGUCCACUUCUCACGAUCACGUGUAUUUGAAUCACUCUUAUAACUACUUCCUCCCUUCAUUUUCACGCUUUUUACUUUCUUUUGAUUACAUUUUGGCUUGUUCCCGCCCGAGCGUCGAAAAUACCCGCCCGAGCCUCGAAAAUACCCGCCCUCUCGGUUCAACUGUCUCGGUUCCCCUACGUCGUAAUGUAGGAAAUAUACAUGAUUUUAUAUCGUUAGAAGGGUCGACGACGCAGGGGGCAAAACAUUUUGUGAAGAGAGGGGGGUGCAACACGAGGACUUCCCAAGAGGUCACCCAUCUUAGUACUACUCUCGCCCAAGAACGUUUACCUUCAGAGUUCUGGUGGGUACCGGUGCAGUAGUGUUGGUAUGAUCGCACCUGUCUACUUCUCACGAUCAUGUGUAUUUGAACCACUCCCGUCACUACUUCCUCCCUUCAUUUUCACGCUUUUCGCAUUCUUUUAAUUACAUUUUGGCUCGUUCCCGCCUGAGCCUCGAAAAUUCCCACCCUCUCGGUUCCCCUACGUCAUUAUACAUGUAAUAUAAAUUAUGUAAUUUCGGUAAGCAGGUCGAUAAUGUCACCAGGGGAAAAAUUGCAAAAAGAGGGUUGCAACACGAGGACUUCCCAAGAGGUCACCCAUCUUACUACCACUCUCGCCCAAGCACGUUUAACUUCAAAGUUCUUAUGGGUUCUGGUGCAUUAGUGUUGGUAUAAUGCACGUGUACUUGAACCACUCCCCUCACUACUUCCUCCCUUCAUUUUCACGCUUUUCGCUUUCUUUUAAUUACAUUUUGGCUCGUUCCCGCCCGAGCCUCGAAAAUACCCGCCCCCUCAGUUUCGCGUCCAUCAUUAUGCAUGUAAUAUAAACGAUGUAAUCUCGGUUAGCGUGUCGAUAAUGUCACCGGGGGAAAUAAUUUCAAAAAGAGGGUGUCCAACACGAGGACUUCCCAAGAGCUCACCCAUCUUAGUCCAACUCUCGCCCAACCACGGUUCACUUCGGAGUUCGGAGUUCUGAUGGGCUCCGGUGCAUUAGUGUUGGUAUGAUCGCACCCGUCCACUGCUCAUGCUCAUGUGUAUAUCAACCAAUCCCGUCACUACUUCCUCCCUUAAUUUUCAAUUUUUUAUCUUACUUUAAACUGCGUUUUGGCCGUUUUCCACCCGAACCUCGGAAUUACCAACGGUCUCGGUUCUUCUACGUCAUAAUGUAGGAAAUAUACAUGAUUUUAUAUCGUUAGAAGGGUCGACGUCGCAGGGGGCAAAUCAUUUUGUGUAGAGAGGUGGGUGCAACACGAGGAUAUCCCAAGAGGUCACCCAUCUUAGUACUACUCUCGCCCAAGCACGUUUAACUUCGGAGUUCUGAUGGGAUCCGGUGCAUUAGUGCUGGUAUGAUCGCACCCGUCCACUGCUCACGCUCAUGUGUAUAUCAACCAAUCCCGUCACUACUUCCUCCCUUAAUUUUCACGCUGUUCGGUUUCUUUUUAUUACAUUUUGGCUCGUUCCCGCCCGAGCCUCGAAAAUACCCGCCCCCUCGGUUCGCCUCUGUCAUUAUGCAUGUGAUAUAGAUGAUGUAAUUUCGGUAAGCGUGUUGAUAAUGUCGCCGGGGGAAAAAAUUGCAAAAAGAGGGUGUGCAACACAAGGACUUCCCAAGAGGUCACCCAUCUAAGUACUACUCUCGCCCAAGAAAACGGUUAACUUCAGAGUUCUGGUGGGUACCGGUGCAUUAGUGUUGGUAUGAUCGCACCCGUCUACUUCUCACGAUCAUGUGUAUUUGAACAACUCCCGUCAGUACUUCCUCCCUUCAUUUCCAUGGUUUUCGCUUUCUUUUAAUUACAUUUUUCCUCGUUCCCACCCGAGCCUCAAAAAUACCCGCCCUCUCGGUUCGCCUCCGUCAUUAUGCAUGUAAUAUAAAUGAUGUAAUUUCGGUAAGCGGGUCGAUAAUGUUGCCGGGGGAAAAAUUGCAAAAAGAGGGGUUGCAACACGAGGACUUCCCAAGGGGUCACCCAUCUUAGUACUACUCUCGCCCAAGCACGUUUAACUUCGGAGUUCUAAUGGGAUCCGGUGUAUUAGUGGUGAUAUGAUCGCACCCGUCCACUUCUCGCGAUCACGUGUAUUUGAACCACUCCCGUCACUACUUCCUCCCUUCAUUUUCAUGCUUUUCGCUUUCUUUUAAUUACAUUUUGCCCCGUUCCCGCCCGAGCCUGGAAAGUACCCCCCUCUCGGUUCCCCUCCGUCAUUAUGCACGUAAUAUAAACGAUGUAACCUCGCUAAGCGUGCCCAUAACGUCGCCGGAGAAAAAUUGCAAAAGGAGGGGGUGCAACACGGGAGGUGCAACACUAGGACUUCCCAAGAGGUCACCCAUCUUAGUACUAUUCUCGCCCAAGCACAGUUCACUACGGAAUUCUGAUGGGAUCCGGUGCAUUAGUGUUGGUAUGAUCGCACCCGUCCACUUCUCACGAUCACGCUUAUUUGAACCACUCCCGUCACUACUUCCUCCCUUCAUUUUCACGCUUUUCGCUUUCUUUUAAUUACAUUUUAGCCCGUUCCCGCCCGAGCCUCGAAAAUGACCGAUCCCUCGGCUCCCCUCCCUCAUUAUGCGUGUAAUAUAAACGAUGUAAUCUCGGUAAGAGUGUCCAUAACGUCGCCGGG